GGUGAAACUGCGAAUGGCUCAUUAAAUCAGUUAUCGUUUAUUUGAUAGUACCUUACUACUUGGAUAACCGUGGUAAUUCUAGAGCUAAUACAUGCUAAAAACCUCGACUUUUGAAGGGGUGUAUUUAUUAGAUAAAAAACCAAUGCCCUUCGGGGCUCUUUGGUGAUUCAUGAUAACUUAACGAAUCGCAUGGCCUUGCGCCGGCGAUGGUUCAUUCAAAUUUCUGCCCUAUCAACUUUCGAUGGUAGGAUAGUGGCCUACCAUGGUUUCAACGGGUAACGGGGAAUUAGGGUUCGAUUCCGGAGAGGGAGCCUGAGAAACGGCUACCACAUCCAAGGAAGGCAGCAGGCGCGCAAAUUACCCAAUCCCGACACGGGGAGGUAGUGACAAUAAAUACUGAUACAGGGCUCUUUUGGGUCUUGUAAUUGGAAUGAGUACAAUUUAAAUCCCUUAACGAGGAACAAUUGGAGGGCAAGUCUGGUGCCAGCAGCCGCGGUAAUUCCAGCUCCAAUAGCGUAUAUUAAAGUUGUUGCAGUUAAAAAGCUCGUAGUUGAACCUUGGGCCUGGCUGGCCGGUCCGCCUCACCGCGUGCACUGGUUCGGCCGGGCCUUUCCUUCUGGGAAUCCGCAUGCCCUUUACUGGGUGUGCUGGGGAACCAGGACUUUUACUUUGAAAAAAUUAGAGUGUUCAAAGCAGGCCUUUGCUCGAAUACAUUAGCAUGGAAUAAUAGAAUAGGACGUGCGAUCCUAUUUUGUUGGUUUCUAGGACCGCCGUAAUGAUUAAUAGGGAUAGUCGGGGGCAUCAGUAUUUAAUUGUCAGAGGUGAAAUUCUUGGAUUUAUUAAAGACUAACUACUGCGAAAGCAUUUGCCAAGGAUGUUUUCAUUAAUCAGUGAACGAAAGUUAGGGGAUCGAAGACGAUCAGAUACCGUCGUAGUCUUAACCGUAAACUAUGCCGACUAGGGAUCGGGCGAUGUUAUUAUUUUGACUCGCUCGGCACCUUACGAGAAAUCAAAGUCUUUGG
This 1022-nucleotide ribosomal RNA is filed under the name Mytilinidion mytilinellum. Its description in RNAcentral is "SSU rRNA". It matches the Rfam family "Eukaryotic small subunit ribosomal RNA", at positions 80 to 1110 of the family's 1831-position model. Lineage: Eukaryota; Fungi; Ascomycota; Dothideomycetes; Mytilinidiales; Mytilinidiaceae. The record is from RNAcentral.